AACAAAUCAGAGUUGUGACCCAACAUCAGGAUUUUUUUUUUUAAUCUCUCCAGGUGAUUCUCAUGUGCAGCCAAGACUGAGAACCUCAUGAAGACGGAUAAGCAGGGCUACUCCCGAGGGACAGUGAUCCAUAACACGUGUUUGGCCAAGGCUCAGGAAGACCCCACACUAAUAGGCCCCACCACGCCAUCAGCCAGGAGGGAAGCCUGCCUGUCCCCGUCCUCACCGAAGGAUGGUCACCAACAGGAGAAGCUGCUCUAGAAGCACAGGAGGAAGACGCUCAGCCCAGAUCCACUCCAGAUCCCACAAAUAGGCUUGAGCAGGCUUGGGCAAAGCGUGGAUUAUGUAAAUACGUAUUUGGGGACUUUUUAAA
Long non-coding RNA from Bubalus bubalis (water buffalo), 373 nucleotides. RefSeq lists it as uncharacterized. The record is from RefSeq and is a predicted model, not a curated record. The transcript has 2 exons. Lineage: Eukaryota; Metazoa; Chordata; Mammalia; Artiodactyla; Bovidae.